AUGGCGCACGCUAACGAUGCUAACGGGCAGAGGCCCUGCGCGCGCCCGUGGCGGCGGCGGUGGUGGUGGAGGAGCGCUCGGCGCCUUUCGCGCCGGCUCUUUCGCUGCCGGUGUUUGUGCCGCGAGGCGAAGGAGCCUCUGCGGGGGCAGGAAAAGCGGAUUAACGGGGGCCCGCGGCAGCUCGGCGCGGAUAGAUGGGGAUCAGGUGAGAAGGAGGCCGUCCAGAUUACUGUGGAGGAUCUGGGGAUAGUUAACUGCAGCUUCGUCCUGUCUGAAGAGGACCCCCUGACCCGGAGGACCAGCGCGGCCCGCUCAGCCGGCUCGGGGUCCGCCUGCCACACAGCUGAGAAAAAGAAACACAGACCUCUGGGUUCACUCCCUUUACAGCUCCAGGCUGAACCUGCCACGACUUCUACCAGUGGAGAAGAUGGUGAAGAUGAGGAGGAGGAGGCUGAAAGUCUGCUGACACCACCUGUCAUUAAUCUCAUCCCUCCCACCCCCUCCGACGUCGUUAACGACCGCUUUUUUAAUAACUCAGAGGAGAGUGUGGCGCGUAGAUCUGGCAGCGAUGGAAGCCCUGCUCCCACUGAGCGGAAGAGCGAUGGGGAAAAGACGGAGAGUGAGGAGGCAGAGGACUCAACGGAGGGACGCAGAGAGGCCGGGAACGAUGCUGGAGCGGACGGUGGUGCUGAGGCGGGAGGGGGCCCGGGGCACGAGGGUGAGGAGGACAGAGGGGAUGUGCCACGUAGCUCCUACCAGGUGGCUCCUCUGCCCGAAUACCCGCAGAGAAAGAGCUUCAACACUGGAAUAAACCUUUUAUCAUUCACUGAGCUCAACUUGGACGACCUGAGCGGCGGCGACCGGCCGUGCGCCGACAUGGUGGCGACUGACGUGCGCGGCCUCCAUCCCGCUGCCAGCGCGCGGGCCUCUGCUCACCGAAGGACACCCGUAACUCACUCCAGCCUCCUUGGGGAAACAUUGACCAGGAGCGCCACAUUCCACGGAUUAACCCAGGCCACGGCGCAGCGCCAGGAGGAGGGGUCGCCGCGGCAACGACGCAUAACCGUGGCGUCGUACAUGCCUCAGCCCCGGGACCAGAAUGGAAACUUCCCUGAGAAGGACGCAGACGAGCGCGCGACCAAACCUCUCAGGGAGCUGAGCACCGACGGACUCUGCCGGUGGUUUACCAGCAUUGGACUGGAGAGAUGCCUCCCUUUCAUCAGGGAAGCCAAACUGUGCGGCGCAGACAUAGCAUCAGUCGACGCCAACACUCUGGACAUCCUCCACGUCACCACGCUGGAAGACAGAGAGCAGUUACUGUCGGCCAUUUAUGCCGAGCUGCACCCUCCCAGCACCACCAGCCAGAGACUGGACUCUCUGCUGGAAACAUUAGGCCCCAAUCAUGUGGAGACUUUCGCCGCCACGCUGGUGUCCAUGAGCAAGUCCAGGUCAUCGCCUCACGUGAGCUGCCUGAGUCUGAACCGACGUUCCCUCAAAGUCAGGAACAACAGCCAGAGCUGCAACACACAGCUGAUAGAGGUCACUGUCACGGCGUCAGAGAGAAUAGUUCAUCUCCGGACCCCAAAGGAAACGACCGUGGGAAAGAUCAUGGACUCGUGUAUCAAAAUGCUGGGAGCGACAGAGGACAAGUGUCUGUUCACGCUGAGAGAAAAGCACAGCUCAUUGGAGGAACUGAUGCCGGACCAGCAGGUUGGGGGUCUACUGACGUCGGCAUCAGACAACGCACAAGUGGAGCUGCUCCUGUGUAAACUGGAGAAACCAGCGAGUCCUGACUCUUCAAAGAGUCCAGACGUCGACAGCGCCAAUGAAAAUGGCAGCAGCGACACAACCCUUCAGUCAGAUAAAGAAAAGAGGAUCAGAGAGUUGAAACAACAGGUGGACUCGCUCCAAAACGUCAUCCUUCAGGUCCAGGAGCUCCACCUCAGCCUGGUAGCGUUUUGCUCAGAGCUGAAAAGCAUGGACGGAGACGUGAACGCGGACGAGCUCGGCGCUGACGAGCUGCAGCGGAGGCUGGAGUUGGUCCAAAGCCGAGUGAGCGACAAGAAGCAGAGCCUGCGAACCCUCCGAGACCACAUCAGCAGAUCGGCUGCUCACAAGACCAAGUAGGUGAACGGUGCCGGGUGAAGUAGUCCUUCCGCCUUCUACGUAGCUGAAUCACACAAUGAACACGGGUCUGAAUAGAAAUACGCUGUGGUUGAGCGUGUGACUGCUGUCCAAGAGAAUGAGACACAGCUUCUGAGGCCGGUCCUUCUUUUGCCAUUCAGCCAGCUGGAAGUUCAUCUCCUGGAAAAGAUGAAGUUGAACUGCCAGGUGUUCAAGGAGGAAAUCUCCCUGGUGCAUCUCAACCGACAGGUGGCUCAGCUCCAGAGCGCUCUGGACGAAAGCACAGCGAAGGUACAACUACGUGACACACUCCGCUGCAGAGCUCGACUCACGCGCCCAAGGCCUGGAAAUCGGCAGUAAAGUCACAGCAAUGUGGGAAAGAUGCAUGCUCAUAGUCAGGGAAUGUUUUCAUUGCUAAAAUUAAACAACGAGAACCAGCUUUGCACCAAAACAACACGACUCAUUGUGAGAAGCAUGUGUGGUAUGAGAUACUAAACUCCUGAUCAGGCAAAAACUCUCAAAUCACGUUGUUUUCCUCCAGCCUUUGUUUAUAUCAGAACAACUUGUGCAACGGGAAUCUUUCCCCCGCUAAUGAAAGACACGCUGUGAUGAUCACGGACGCGGCGAGUUCAUCCAUGUGUUGGUUUACUGGGCCAGCGCUAGGACGGACGGCGGCUUCCUGACAGGGCAGGUCUUUACCUGACACCACUGUGUUCACUGACAACACAAAGCUCCAUUCAGGCGACUUGGAGUCAUUAAGCUGUGCAUUUAGCGGUGAUAGUGGGCAUAGAAGGCCGAGCGCAGACCUUUUGAUGAACAUGUGCUUUUUUUAGGGGGAAAUAAUGUUUAGGGCCGACAUCUGAGAGCCUGUGACCACACCAACAAUGGAAUGUGUGUGACAAAAGCCACUGGGAGAGUGCGGAGGAGAAGCGGGCCGGCGUGUGUAAAACUAUCUCCAUCCAUCCCCGGAGGAGCCCACCUUCCUUUUUAAUGUGGCUCUUUAAUCCCGCCGGAGAAGCCCUAACGAGGUGCCAUGAAAGGACACACGCGGCUCGGGCUUUGAAAGGUGCCCCGUGUCACAUUGCCGCCCCGAGGCCACGCUUUUUUAGGUGCUGAGUUUGUGGGAACAGCAGCGGCGCUAAUGUUUAUCAUAUGACCUAAUCAGAGUUAACACGCAGGUCAGAGCGGAGGAGCAGCCUGGGAACUGAUGGAGCCGCUGCUCUAAUAAGGAGCAGACCGCCCUGUGUUUGGUCUUGUAGGCUGCCCCGCAUUACAGACAAUAAGGAAAUAUUUCAUCAGCAGCAGCCUAAUCUCCGGGAUCUGCAACAACUGUAGAGCAUCAAUAAAGCGGUGGAGAGACAGAGAGGGAGGGAGGGA
Molecule: long non-coding RNA, 3501 nt
Filed under: Betta splendens (Siamese fighting fish)
Lineage: Eukaryota; Metazoa; Chordata; Actinopteri; Anabantiformes; Osphronemidae
Description: lncRNA (ENSBSLG00000009654.1)
Source: RNAcentral